AUGCGACUCUCCAUGUUUAAUGAAUUCAGCCACUUGAAGUUGCUUGCUAUUGCUGAAACAAGGUUUGCCUCAGUUGUGAUUAUGUUGCGGUGGUUUGUUUUGGUUAAGAAUGCUCUCCAAUCCAUGGUAAUUAGUCCUCAAUGGGAUAUUUACAAAGAUAAUUCUAAAGCUGCAAGUGUUGUCAAAGAGAAGAUACUCUCUGAUGUGUGGUGGAGCAAGGUGGAAUAUAUUCUCAAGUUUACCGAACCAGUACAUGAGAUGAUUCGUGUGGCGGACACAGACAACCCAUGUCUUCAUCUUGUUUAUGAGAUGUGGGAUUCCAUGAUUGAGAAAGUGAAAAAAGCAAUAGAUGAAAGGGAAGAAAGGAACUUAAAUGAUCAUGAGGAGCCCCCUUUAUUCAAGCGGGUUCACAAGGUGUUGAUUGCUCGGUGGACAAAAGGAAAUAAUCCACUCCAUUGUAUGGCCCAUUCACGCAACCCAAGAUAUUAUAGUGCCAAGUGGCUUGCAGCAGGUGAGGGUCGUGUACCCCCACACAAGGACCUUGAGGUUACAGCCACGAGGAACAAAUGCAUGAAGAAGUUUUUCCCAAUUGCAGAAGAUUUGGCAAGAAUGGGUUGGUUCUGC
This 624-nucleotide ribosomal RNA is filed under the name Triticum aestivum (bread wheat). RNAcentral's name for it is "partial small subunit ribosomal RNA". The record is from RNAcentral. Lineage: Eukaryota; Viridiplantae; Streptophyta; Magnoliopsida; Poales; Poaceae.